GCAGGGAGGCCUUACACCUUCCAGACUGAAGGAGCCUACCAAGGUAGCCAGUGGGCGGACCACUCCAGCCCCUGUCAAUCAGACAGAUCGGGAAAAGGAGAAGGCCAAAGCCAAGGCAGUGGCCUUGGACUCAGACAACAUCUCCUUGAAGAGUAUUGGCUCCCCAGAAAGUACUCCCAAGAACCAAGCAAGCCACCCCACAGCCACCAAGCUGGCAGAGCUGCCACCAACCCCUCUCAGGGCCACAGCGAAGAGCUUUGUCAAACCACCCUCACUAGCCAAUCUUGACAAGGUCAACUCCAACAGUCUGGAUCUACCAUCAUCCAGUGAUACCACCCAUGCUUCAAAGGUCCCAGAUCUGCAUGCUACAAGCUCAGCAUCUGGGGGCCCUCUCCCUUCCUGCUUCACCCCCAGUCCGGCACCCAUCCUCAAUAUUAACUCAGCCAGCUUCUCCCAGGGCCUGGAGCUAAUGAGUGGUUUCAGUGUGCCAAAAGAGACCCGCAUGUACCCUAAACUCUCAGGCCUGCACAGGAGCAUGGAGUCCCUCCAGAUGCCAAUGAGCCUGCCCAGUGCCUUCCCCAGCAGUACUCCCGUCCCCACCCCACCUGCUCCCCCUGCUGCUCCCACAGAAGAAGAGACGGAAGAGCUGACUUGGAGUGGAAGCCCCAGAGCUGGGCAACUGGACAGUAAUCAGCGGGAUCGGAACACUCUUCCCAAGAAAGGGCUCAGGUACCAGCUUCAGUCCCAGGAGGAGACCAAGGAGAGGCGACAUUCCCAUACCAUUGGUGGGCUGCCUGAAUCUGAUGACCAGUCAGAGCUGCCUUCUCCCCCUGCACUUCCCAUGUCUUUGAGUGCAAAGGGCCAACUUACCAACAUAGUGAGUCCCACUGCGGCCACCACGCCAAGAAUCACCCGCUCCAACAGCAUCCCCACCCACGAGGCGGCCUUCGAGCUGUACAGCGGCUCCCAAAUGGGGAGCACCCUGUCCCUGGCCGAGAGACCCAAGGGAAUGAUUCGGUCAGGAUCCUUCCGAGACCCCACGGACGAUGUUCAUGGCUCAGUGCUGUCCUUGGCCUCCAGUGCCUCCUCCACCUACUCCUCACAAAUCCGGAAGCUUCGUAGGGAACUGGAAUCAUCCCAGGAAAAAGUGGCCACCUUGACGUCUCAGCUUUCUGCCAAUGCUAAUCUAGUGGCUGCUUUCGAGCAGAGCCUGGUGAAUAUGACAUCCCGCCUGCGACACCUGGCAGAGACGGCCGAGGAGAAGGACACAGAGCUGCUGGAUUUGCGAGAAACUAUAGACUUUCUGAAGAAAAAGAACUCUGAGGCCCAGGCAGUCAUUCAGGGAGCCCUUAAUGCCUCAGAAACCACACCCAAAGGUAGGACAUCCAGCCACAGAUUGAGAGGGAACAGGGAUGGCAGGAAAGGAAGAGUAUUACAGAUUUUUAUCUGGGCCCAUAGUAUUCCAGGUCCUAUAUCAAAUCUCUAGAAGGUGAGGGCCUUUAGAUACCCUUUAGUGUGAUGUCUGGACUGGUCAGUGAGGAGUACCAGGGGCAUGACCCCAGUUUCCUAGGGCAUGAAGGCAAGUAGAGGAGACCUGUAAGCCCCGGGGGUCCUCUCCUUAACCUUUACGUCAGGGCCAAAGAGCCAUCAAAGACCAUCGUUAAAAUAGCCCUUUACAUUUUUAUGCAAAUGUGUUGUGUGUCCACACGCACACACACAAACACACACACAAUCUUAUUUGAUCCUCGCUUUAGUUCUCCAACGGAGAUGCAAUCUACUCUUCCAAUGAAACAACCAAAGCUCACAUAAGUUUACGGUACUGAAAUGGCAAGUUAGCCUGGACGUUUAGUAACCAGUCAAGCUUUCCUACAGAAGUCAAGAUGGAUGGGAGUCUGAUGCCACAAAAAUCUGUGAUCUCUAACUCCAAUCAGGUCUUCAAGAUACCUUGGCAGUCCUCUUACUUGUCCACAGUCAGUUUUCUUUUUUAUUCCACUAUCAGUGAUUCCCAGCUUUCAUUGCUUUUUUCAAGCUCCUCAUUCCACCACUGACUUGCCUUACUCUGAACAUAGCCUUGGCCCCCGACUUAGUUAAGAAAAUGAACAUUUUCAGAAGAGAACUCCAUUGACUCUUCCCCACUCCAUGCGUUUAUAUUCAUCCAAUACUUAUUUAUUUGUCUCCAUUUUGUUGGAAGGAUCCAUCCCUUCUGGCCAAGAGUGACCACUUAUCUAAUGUUUUGGGAUGCCCUCUUUAGCAACCAUACAAACCUCCUCCACCCCACACAUGCCCUUUUCUACCUGUCUGAUCUCUUAUGCUCUAUUCAUUCCUUCUCUGCUUAUAAACCUGCCAAAGGCUUUUGUAUCUUAAAGGGGAAAGAUGUAUCAAUCUAUGUUCUAACUAUAAUCUUACUUCUUUCCUUCCUCCAGUCGAUCCUACCUUUCCACCUCCCUUUCACACCUAACCCCACUAUAAUUACGCUUCUGUCACCAUCAUUCUACCAAAAACACUUUCACUAAAGUCACCAGUGACUCCCAUUUUUCCAAAAUCCAACUUACAAUUUUUAGUACUUAUUUUACCUUUUUUUUUUUAGUCGGAGUCUCACUUUGUUGCCCAGGCUGGAGUGCAGUGGCGCGAUCUCAGCUCACCACAACCUCCGCCUCUCAGGUUCAGGCGAUUCUCCUGCCUCAGCCUCCCGAGUAGCUGGGACUACAGGCGCCUGCCACCAUGCCUGGCUAAUUUUUGUAUUUUUAGUAGAGAUGGGGUUUCACCAUGUUAGCAAAGUGUUUUCAAGACUCAUUCAUGUUGUGUCAUGUAUCCGCACAUCAUUCCUUUUUGUGACUGAAUAAUAUUCCAUUGUGUGGAUAUACCAAAGUUUGUUUAGCCAUUCAUCAGUUGAUAGGUAGGCAUUGAGUUGUUUUCACUUUUUGCCUAUUAUGAAUAAUGCUGCCAUGAACAUUCAUGUACAAGUUUGUGUGUGGACAUAUGUUUUUAGUUCUCUGGGGUAUAUACCUAGAAGUGGAAUUGCUGGGUCAUAUGGUAACUCUGUGUUUGACUUUUUGAGGAAUUGGCAAGCUGUUUUCCAGAGCAGCUGCACCAUUUUACAUUCCUGUCAGCAGCAUAUGAGGGUGCCGAUAUCGCCACAUUCUUUGUUUUUGUUUUUUUGAGAUAGUGUCUCACUCUGUUGGCCAGGCUGGAGUGCGAUGGUGCAUCUUGGCUCACUGCAACCUCUGCCUCCCAGGUUCAAGUAAUUCUCCUGCCUCAGCCUCCUGAGAAGCUGGGAUUACAGGUGCUCGCCACCAUACCCAGCUAAUUAUUUUUUGUAUUUUUAGUAGAGACAGGGUUUCACCAUGUUGGCCAGACUGGUCUCAAACUCCUGACCUCCAGUGAUCUGCCCACCUCGGCGUCCCAAAGUGCUGGGAUUACAGGCGUGAGCCACAACACUCAGCCCUAUAGCUCCACAUUCUUGCUAACACUUACUGACCUCUUUUUUGUAAUAGCUAGCUUAGUGGGUGUGAGGUGGUAUCUCACUGUGGUUUUGAUUUUCAUUUUCUUUAUGGCUAAGAAUACCGAGCAUCUUUUCAUGUGCUUAUUUGCUAUUUGUAUGUCUUCAUGGAGAAAUGUCUAUUCAAAUCCUUGGCCCAUUUUUAAAAUCAGGUUAUUUGUCUUUUGUUGUUGAGCUUUAAGAGUUUUUUAAUAAUUCUGAAUAUUAGACCCUUAUCAGAUAUAUGAUUUGAAAAAUAGUUUCUCUCAUUGUAUGAGUUGCUGUUUUGCUUCCUUGAAAAUAUUCUUGAAGAACAAAAGUUUUCCAUUUUCAUGAGGUAUAAUUUAUCUAUUUUUUUCCUUUGGCUGCUUGUGCUUUAUGUGCUGUAUCUAAGAAAUUAUUGCCUAAUCCAGGGUCAUGAAGACUUAUUCCUAGGAUUCCUUCUAAAAUUUUUUUUAGUUUUAGGUCUUUGUUCCAUUUUUAGUAAAUUUUUGUACAUGCUAUGAGGUAGGCAGUCCAACUUCAUUCUUUUACACGAGGAUAUCUAGUUGUUCCAGCAUCAUUUGCUGAAAAGACUAUUUUUUCCCCCAUUGAAUUGUCUUGGCACUCUAGGAAAUCAAUUGACCAUACAUACAUGGGUUUCUUUCUAGACUUUCAGUUCUAUUCCAUUCUUCUAUAUGUCUAUCCUUGGCCAGUACCACAUUGUUUUGAUUACUGUAGCUUUGUAGUAAGUUUGGAAAUUGGGAAGUGUGAGUCCUCCAACUUUGUUCUUUUUCAAGGUUGUUUUGGCUACUCUGUGUCCUUUGCAUUUCCAUGUGAAUUUUGGGAUUCAUUUGUUAAUCUCAGAUUGAAUUUUGCUAGGGAUUGCAUUGAAUCUGUAUGUGAAUUUAGAGAGUAUUGCCUCUUAACAAUGGUAAGUCUUCCAAUCCAUGAAAAGGCAUGCCUUUAUCCAUAUAUUCUUUCAUUUCUUUCAGUGAUAUUUUGCAGUUUUUCAGCAUAUGAACCUUGCACUUAUUUUGUUAAACUUAGUUUUUAUGCUGUUCUAAACUGAAUUGUUUUCUUAAUUUCUCUUUUGAGUUAUAGAUUACUAGUGUAUAAAAAUACAAUUGAUUUUUUGCACAUGAUCUUAUAUCCUGCAGACUUGCUGGGCUCCCUUAUCAGCUCAAUUGGUUUUACAAUCUCUUCUUAAUCUGUAUUUCUAUCCAUAUCAGUCUCCUGAGUUCCAUACCUUUACUUCCAACCAUGUUUGGAUGUUUCCACUUAGUUGACCUCAUAGAGAUAUCUCUAACUUAAUAUGUCCAAAAUUAAAGUCAUCCCCUUCACCCCACUUACAAACACACAAGCCAACCUUUCCCUUCUGCAGUUUGCCCAUCUCAGGUAUUAUCAUUUGCCUGGUUGCCCAAGCCUCUUCUACGAGAAUCAUCUUUGAUUCCUCACUGUUUCACCCUGUAUAGUCAGUUAGUUCUAACUCCUACGUAGAUCUCAAUUCUAUCCCUCUUCUGUGUUGUCACUACCCUGGCUCAGGUUUUUAUCGUUCUUCUCCUGGAAUAUUUCAAUAAUUUCCUUACUGGUCUUGCUGUGCUCGUUCUUCCAGUGCUUUCCUUGCCCCCAGAGUAAUCCAGUUAUGUCAGUUAAGAUCAGAAAUUACUCCAGGCCAGGCACAGCGGCCCACACUAUAAUCCCAGAACUUCAGAAGGCCAAGAAAGGAGGUUCACUUUAGGCCAGGAGUUCAAGACCAGCCUGGGCAACAUAGUGAGACCUCAUUCUUAAAAUAUUAGCCUGUAGUCCUAGCUACUCCAGAGGCUGAGUCUGGAGGACUGCUUAAGCCCAGGAGGUAGAAGCUGCAGUGAGCCACAGUGGUUGCACUGACUCCAGCCUGGGUGAGAGAGAGACCCUGUGUC
This 5379-nucleotide small RNA is filed under the name Pongo abelii (Sumatran orangutan). RNAcentral's name for it is "processed transcript". The record is from RNAcentral. Lineage: Eukaryota; Metazoa; Chordata; Mammalia; Primates; Hominidae.